CAUCAUUUUUUAAGUAUUGAACCACACAAAGGAUUAAAUCUUCAUUACAAAAUCAUUCAUAACUCCAUUUAAAUCAAUGGAAACCAAAUAUGGAUAGUUUCAUGGAGUAACAACAUACUUUGGAUUUUGGACAUAAAAUACAAUACAAGUUAAUAUCGAACUUCGAACUUAUAAAGUGUUAAGCAGCAAUUACAAUAAAAGUGCUUGCUGUGGAAUCACUGGUGCUGCUCAUUAUUGUCAACUGUUACUUAAAAAGGUUAUGCCAUGCAUUAAAUUAGGAAGAUUUGUGUUGGAUGAAUUACCCAGAUAACAAUUAAAACAACUUCUAUUUAUAAGAACAUUCGAUUGGUGGAAUCCAGAUUCUGUGAAUAUAUAUUAAGUAAUUGAUUGACAAGUACACAUUUGACAAGGUGGUGAGAAACAUGUAGAUCUGGCCUGCUUACAGUGGAGUGGACAGAACCAACGUGAGAGUGAACGUGUGAAUUUAUGGAGAACAUUAAACUAUUUUACUAUAAGUCUUAACGCAACAUAUUUUAUAUGAGUUACAUACAAAUGUCAAUCCGUGAGUACAUAAUGUAAAAACUAAAACAAUGUACUGUUAUCACAACAGUAACUGUAAUCUUUUAAAAUCCAGUAGUUUUAUUGCUUAUUGAUUUUCGUAAACAAAAUAUUUCAUGUUAUAUUUCAUCAAUAAAGUUUUAUUUUAUA
Molecule: long non-coding RNA, 708 nt
Organism: Ostrinia furnacalis (Asian corn borer)
Lineage: Eukaryota; Metazoa; Arthropoda; Insecta; Lepidoptera; Crambidae
Exons: 5
Source: RefSeq, a predicted model, not a curated record